RNAcentral lists this ribosomal RNA (496 nucleotides) under uncultured bacterium. RNAcentral's name for it is "partial 16S ribosomal RNA". It matches the Rfam family "Bacterial small subunit ribosomal RNA", at positions 30 to 523 of the family's 1533-position model. The record is from RNAcentral.
AUUGAACGCUGGCGGAAUGCUUUACACAUGCAAGUCGAACGGUAGAGGGGGCAACCCCUCGAGAGUGGCGAACGGGUGAGUAAUAUAUCGGAACGUGCCCAGUCGUGGGGGAUAACGUAGCGAAAGUUACGCUAAUACCGCAUACGAUCUAAGGAUGAAAGCGGGGGAUCGCAAGACCUCGCGCGAUUGGAGCGGCCGAUAUCAGAUUAGGUAGUUGGUGGGGUAAAGGCCCACCAAGCCAACGAUCUGUGGUUGGUCUGAGAGGACGACCAGCCACACUGGAACUGAGACACGGUCCAGACUCCUACGGGAGGCAGCAGUGGGGAAUUUCGGACAAUGGGCGAAAGCCUGAUCCAGCCAUUCCGCGUGCAGGAUGAAGGCCCUCGGGUUGUAAACUGCUUUUGUACAGAACGAAAAGGUUUCUACUAAUACUAGGAGCUCAUGACGGUACUGUAAGAAUAAGCACCGGCUAACUACGUGCCAGCCGCCGCCGUAA